GGGAAUUUAGCUCAGUGGUAGAGCGCUUGCCUAGCAAGUGCAAGACCCUGGGUUCAGUCCCCAGCCCC
This 68-nucleotide transfer RNA is filed under the name Rattus norvegicus (Norway rat). It matches the Rfam family "tRNA". From Rfam's summary of the family: Transfer RNA (tRNA) molecules are approximately 80 nucleotides in length. Their secondary structure includes four short double-helical elements and three loops (D, anti-codon, and T loops). Lineage: Eukaryota; Metazoa; Chordata; Mammalia; Rodentia; Muridae. The record is from Rfam by way of RNAcentral.